Molecule: unclassified non-coding RNA, 289 nt
Filed under: Hevea brasiliensis (rubber tree)
Lineage: Eukaryota; Viridiplantae; Streptophyta; Magnoliopsida; Malpighiales; Euphorbiaceae
Source: RNAcentral
AAAAAAAAAGAAAAGAAAAUUAGAAUAACUUGAUUCAAUUAUGUUGAUAUUGUUGAUGCCUUUAAGGGUUGUGAAAUAUACAGUUUGUGUUGCUUAUUCUUUUCAAGGAGGAAGCUUAAUUUUAGGUGAGAUGCUAUCGAGUUUUUAAUUGGAAUUCUGAAUUUUGGCAUGUCCUAAACUCUAAUGCAGCUCAUAAAUUUUGUUUUAGUUUAGUUAUUGGACUUGAAGUGGAAAUCGAUGAAGGGGAUGGAAAUUAUAUUAUUUAUGCACACUAAAGGUUUUUUUUUUU